CCUAUCCACUCUCCAUAUCUAUGCAGGUGACCAAAGUAGCAGUAGUAGUAAGUAAUAGGAAGAUUAAAAAAGUUACAAACACAGAAGGAUUUAACCAACCUCCUCACUGUCACAGCCAUCAACGUCAUUGUCAAAUUUGACACCACAAGUCACAUCGCAACAUCAUCGCAAAGAAACACUAUGGCGAAAUCAGUUGGACAAAGUUAUACGAAAUUUAAGGAGAAAUGCUGGUGACUGCACUGCCAAUGGAUGGAGUGAUCUGUCCUCGGUCGAUGGGCUGGUGUUUACAUGUGUUUCUGUAUUUGCGCGCCACGUUUAUGUUGCUUCCCUUCUAUAUUUCUACCGUGCUUGUCUUGCCUCCCGCUUUGUAUCAAAGGUUUGAAAUGCUGUCAGUGUUUAGUAGUUCACUUGGACGAUGACUUCGACCAGCAUCCAGUGAAGCCCAAAAAGAAUGACACGAAAGAUUUGGACCCUCCCCAGAAACUAUAAUUACAAUAUCUUUUAUUUACAA
Long non-coding RNA from Spodoptera frugiperda (fall armyworm), 511 nucleotides. RefSeq lists it as uncharacterized. The transcript is spliced from 2 exons. Lineage: Eukaryota; Metazoa; Arthropoda; Insecta; Lepidoptera; Noctuidae. The record is from RefSeq and is a predicted model, not a curated record.